UUCCGUUGGUGAACCUGCGGAUUGAUCAUGACACCAAUAUGAGGGCUGGCUGGAGCCUUUUGGGGUUCCAACCUUGCUGAAUUAUUCACCCUUGUUUUUUUCGUGGUUCUUGUUUCCUUGGUGGGUUCGCCCACCACUAGGCCAAACAUCCCCUAAACUUAAUUGCAAUCAGAAUCAGUAACAAAUUAAUAAUUACAAAUUUCAACUUUCAAUAUCGGGGUUCUGGGUUCGAUGAUGGAUGCAGAGAAAUGCAAAAAGUAAUAAGAAUUGCAGAAUUCAGAAUUUCAUGAAUUCUUUGAUCGCACAUUGCACCCUUUGGUAUUCCAAAUUGCAUGCGGCAUCGAGCGUCAUUUGUCACUUCAACCUUCAAGUUCUGUUGGGCGUUUGGUCUCUCGCUAACCCGAGUCUCGCCUUAAAAUAAUGGCAGCGUCGAGCUUCCAUUGGGAGGGCAUCACAAGUAGCACUUUCUAUCUGCAAAGGUCCAGCCUCCAAAAAGCCUUUUUUCAACUUGACCUCGGAUCAGGUAGGAUCCAUCCUUUAGGUUU
RNAcentral lists this ribosomal RNA (545 nucleotides) under fungal sp. RNAcentral's name for it is "eukaryotic LSU rRNA". The stretch from base 197 to 350 matches the Rfam family "5.8S ribosomal RNA". Lineage: Eukaryota; Fungi. The record is from RNAcentral.